UACGUAGGGGGCAAGCGUUGUCCGGAAUCAUUGGGCGUAAAGCGCGUGUAGGCGGUUCGGUAAGUCUGCUGUGAAAGUCCAGGGCUCAACCCUGGGAUGCCGGCGGAUACUGUCGGACUAGAGUACGGAAGAGGCGAGUGGAAUUCCCGGUGUAGCGGUGAAAUGCGCAGAUAUCGGGAGGAACACCAAUUGCGAAGGCAGCUCGCUGGGACGUUACUGACGCUGAGACGCGAAAGCGUGGGGAGCAAACAGG
This 253-nucleotide ribosomal RNA is filed under the name uncultured bacterium. RNAcentral describes it as "partial 16S ribosomal RNA". It matches the Rfam family "Bacterial small subunit ribosomal RNA", at positions 524 to 776 of the family's 1533-position model. The record is from RNAcentral.